Molecule: long non-coding RNA, 1049 nt
Filed under: Struthio camelus australis
Lineage: Eukaryota; Metazoa; Chordata; Aves; Struthioniformes; Struthionidae
Description: lncRNA (ENSSCUG00000017149.1)
Source: RNAcentral
GGUAUGAGAAGAGAAGAAGUUUGAGAGACAACCAGAGUAACUCAAUUUUAAGUCUGAAUUUGAGCGGCAGCUGGACAUCCAGAAUAAUACAGCAGAGCAACAGCGAUGGGAACCUGAACAGAAGAUGGAAGGUCAGCAAUAUGUGAUGAAAUGCCAGCUACAUAUAAGGUGCCUCACGAUUUUAAGACCAACAGUCUGAUACAAAUUUCACCAGCUAACUUCCACAGUGAGCAAUUACUCAACAAAGGCGCCACACAGGCAAGCGUGGGACUCAGGAUGGUGCAGCCCGUAGAAGAGGGGUUUGCUCUGGGGGGCUCCCCAAGAGUUUAGGAACCCCGGGUGCACCAUGGCCAGAGCCACCACACUGUGGGGUUGCCGUAGCCUCAUGAGUGCAGAGCAAACCGAGUCAGCAAAGGAGAAGUGACACCGCAGACUCACACUGUAAGCAUCUAGAUACCUUGGAAUUUCGUACUGAUGGCUGUUCAAUGUGCAUACUGCAUUCUGUUGACCAUCCUGUUGGCAUCCAUACUGUUACCACCCAAGACCAUCUGUUCCAUUGUCCAGCUAUGGUCUGGCACUGAUUAAUGAACUAAGCCCGGGAAGGAUAAAAGUAAGUAAGCCACAUACCUCUGUGUGGACUCGGACUCACCGUCAGCGGGCCUGCGGACCCGACAACCCACCCAUCAGCGGGGACGCCCCUGAUGCCAACUGCCAGAGAGAACCUGAAUCCUCUUGGCGCAGCUCGAGCGUGGUGAGAACAAUCCGGGGAAAACUAUACCGGAGGGGUGGCCCAUAAGGACAAGGAAAGGGCGAGAGCGGUCAUUAUACCGUGCAUCCGAGAGCAGUCAUUGUACUGUGCUUCCGUGGCUUAACCAUAGAGCUCUGAUAUGUGUAGUCUGUUCUGGUUUUAAUUCUUUACUAUACUGCUUAGCUUUGUUAUAUUUGUAGAUUGUCUGCUGUUAAUGGUUUAGUGUUGUCCAGUGUCCGUCAUAUGUGUAGAACCGCUUAGAUCUAAUAAAUUCUUACAUCUGACAAAAGAUGAUCUCUCG